This 292-nucleotide transfer-messenger RNA is filed under the name Rhodoblastus sp. RNAcentral describes it as "partial transfer-messenger RNA". It matches the Rfam family "Alphaproteobacteria transfer-messenger RNA", at positions 76 to 355 of the family's 355-position model. Rfam says of the family: Bacterial tmRNA, also known as 10Sa RNA or SsrA, is named for its dual tRNA and mRNA-like properties. Its role is to liberate the mRNA from a stalled ribosome. The record is from RNAcentral. Lineage: Bacteria; Pseudomonadati; Pseudomonadota; Alphaproteobacteria; Hyphomicrobiales; Rhodoblastaceae.
AAUAAACCAUCCGGACCCGGGGGCGGUACCCGGCGCCUCCACCCCAGCCCAGACCGCGAUUUACGCGCAUCUGGGUUGCGGCGGGGGCGAAACAGGAUCGACGGGGGCGUAAAGGAAGAUCUUUUGCCCGGCAUGAUACCGCCGUUAUCGGGUCAAACCUAUAGUUGCCAACGACAACUAUGCUCCGGUGGCCGUCGCCGCGUAAUGCGGUGAAGGUACUGGGAAUCAAGCCCUAGGGGGUUAGCACCUUCUAGGCGGGGCUCGGAGGCGCCUGGCAACAGAAGCCUCCACU